GACGAACGCUGGCGGCGUGCCUAAUACAUGCAAGUCGAACGCUGAAGGAGGAGCUUGCUUCUCUGGAUGAGUUGCGAACGGGUGAGUAACGCGUAGGUAACCUGCCUGGUAGCGGGGGAUAACUAUUGGAAACGAUAGCUAAUACCGCAUAAUAGUAGAUGUUGCAUGACAUUUGCUUAAAAGGUGCAAUUGCAUCACUACCAGAUGGACCUGCGUUGUAUUAGCUAGGUGGUGGGGUAACGGCUCACCAAGGCGACGUUACAUAGCCGACCAGAGAGGGGGAGAGGCGUAGCUGGGACGGGGACAUGGCCAAGCAGACUGCGGGAGGCAGCAGGAGGGGAUCUUUGGCAAAGGCAGGAAGGCGGACUGAGCAACGCCGCGUGAGUGAAGAAUGGUGUCGGGUCGUGAAGAUCAGGUGUAAGAGAAGAAUGAGUGUGAGAGUGGAAAGUUCACAUUGUGACGGUAACUUAACAGAAAGGGACGGCUAACUACGUG
This 495-nucleotide ribosomal RNA is filed under the name uncultured bacterium. RNAcentral describes it as "partial 16S ribosomal RNA". It matches the Rfam family "Bacterial small subunit ribosomal RNA", at positions 28 to 507 of the family's 1533-position model. The record is from RNAcentral.